GGUCUGCAACUGACGCUGAGGCUCGAAAGCAUGGGUAGCGAACAGGAUUAGAUACCCUGGUAGUCCAUGCCGUAAACGAUGAGUGCUAGGUGUUGGAGGGUUUCCGCCCUUCAGUGCCGGAGCUAACGCAUUAAGCACUCCGCCUGGGGAGUACGACCGCAAGGUUGAAACUCAAAGGAAUUGACGGGGGCCCGCACAAGCGGUGGAGCAUGUGGUUUAAUUCGAAGCUACGCGAAGAACCUUACCAGGUCUUGACAUCUUGCGCUAACCUUAGAGAUAAGGCGUUCCCUUCGGGGACGCAAUGACAGGUGGUGCAUGGUCGUCGUCAGCUCGUGUCGUGAGAUGUUGGGUUAAGUCCCGCAACGAGCGCAACCCUUGUUACUAGUUGCCAGCAUUAAGUUGGGCACUCUAGUGAGACUGCCGGUGACAAACCGGAGGAAGGUGGGGACGACGUCAGACCAUCAUGCCCCUUAUGACCUGGGCUACACACGUGCUACAAUGGACGGUACAACGAGUUGCAAACUCGCGAGAGCAAGCUAAUCUCUUAAAGCCGUUCUCAGUUCGGACUGUAGGCUGCAACUCGCCUACACGAAGUCGGAAUCGCUAGUAAUCG
RNAcentral lists this ribosomal RNA (613 nucleotides) under uncultured bacterium. RNAcentral's name for it is "bacterial SSU rRNA". It matches the Rfam family "Bacterial small subunit ribosomal RNA", at positions 731 to 1344 of the family's 1533-position model. The record is from RNAcentral.